UACGUAGGGUGCAAGCGUUGUCCGGAAUUAUUGGGCGUAAAGAGCUCGUAGGCGGUUUGUUGCGUCGGCUGUGAAAACCUGAGGCUCAACCUCAGGCCUGCAGUCGAUACGAGCAGACUAGAGUGUUGCAGGGGAGACUGGAAUUCCUGGUGUAGCGGUGAAAUGCGCAGAUAUCAGGAGGAACACCGGUGGCGAAGGCGGGUCUCUGGGCAACUCCUGACACUGAGGCACGAAAGCUAGGGGAGCAAACAGG
RNAcentral lists this ribosomal RNA (253 nucleotides) under uncultured bacterium. RNAcentral's name for it is "partial 16S ribosomal RNA". It matches the Rfam family "Bacterial small subunit ribosomal RNA", at positions 524 to 776 of the family's 1533-position model. The record is from RNAcentral.